CAGAGUGUAGCUAAAUAGAAAAGCAUCUCACUUACACCGAGAAGUUAUUCGUGCAAAUCGAAUUACCCUGA
Molecule: transfer RNA, 71 nt
Filed under: Fundulopanchax filamentosus
Lineage: Eukaryota; Metazoa; Chordata; Actinopteri; Cyprinodontiformes; Nothobranchiidae
Description: tRNA-Val
Rfam family: tRNA
About the family: Transfer RNA (tRNA) molecules are approximately 80 nucleotides in length. Their secondary structure includes four short double-helical elements and three loops (D, anti-codon, and T loops). Further hydrogen bonds mediate the characteristic L-shaped molecular structure. tRNAs have two regions of fundamental functional importance: the anti-codon, which is responsible for specific mRNA codon recognition, and the 3' end, to which the tRNAs corresponding amino acid is attached (by aminoacyl-tRNA synthetases). tRNAs cope with the degeneracy of the genetic code in two manners: having more than one tRNA (with a specific anti-codon) for a particular amino acid; and 'wobble' base-pairing, i.e. permitting non-standard base-pairing at the 3rd anti-codon position.
Source: RNAcentral